CCAGGGAGCCGGGCGCUGCCGGGAAACUCGCACCGUCUCUUCGUAUCUGUUACAGGCCCCGCGGUUCACCGUCUGCUCGGAAAUUGGACUAGAAAGGAGCUCAGAGAGGGGGCUUGACUUGCCUUGGGUCACACAGGAGUCAAGCAACAGGAAUUCAACCCAGGUCUGCUCUGGGGCAGUCAAAGAUCACUAGAAAUCAGUUCUCUGAAGCCAGGCUGUCUGGAUGUGAAUCUCAACUCUGUCUUUCAAUAGCUGUGUGACUUUGGGCAAGUCACUGAACCUCUCUGAGCCUCCACUUCCUCACCUGUAAAACGAAGAUAAAAAUUGUAUCUAUGUCAUAAGGUUAUUGCGAGGACUAAAUGCAGAACACUUAGAAUGACUAUUAUUAUUAAUUCCUAAUAUUAAUG
Non-coding RNA from Miniopterus natalensis, 407 nucleotides. The record is from RefSeq and is a predicted model, not a curated record. Lineage: Eukaryota; Metazoa; Chordata; Mammalia; Chiroptera; Miniopteridae.